Molecule: ribosomal RNA, 1051 nt
Filed under: Parabacteroides distasonis
Lineage: Bacteria; Pseudomonadati; Bacteroidota; Bacteroidia; Bacteroidales; Tannerellaceae
Description: bacterial SSU rRNA
Rfam family: Bacterial small subunit ribosomal RNA
Source: RNAcentral
CAUCGCUGAUAGAUAGGCAUGCGUUCCAUUAGGCAGUUGGCGGGGUAACGGCCCACCAAACCGACGAUGGAUAGGGGUUCUGAGAGGAAGGUCCCCCACAUUGGUACUGAGACACGGACCAAACUCCUACGGGAGGCAGCAGUGAGGAAUAUUGGUCAAUGGGCGUAAGCCUGAACCAGCCAAGUCGCGUGAGGGAUGAAGGUUCUAUGGAUCGUAAACCUCUUUUAUAAGGGAAUAAAGUGUGGGACGUGUCCCGUUUUGUAUGUACCUUAUGAAUAAGGAUCGGCUAACUCCGUGCCAGCAGCCGCGGUAAUACGGAGGAUCCGAGCGUUAUCCGGAUUUAUUGGGUUUAAAGGGUGCGUAGGCGGCCUUUUAAGUCAGCGGUGAAAGUCUGUGGCUCAACCAUAGAAUUGCCGUUGAAACUGGGGGGCUUGAGUAUGUUUGAGGCAGGCGGAAUGCGUGGUGUAGCGGUGAAAUGCAUAGAUAUCACGCAGAACCCCGAUUGCGAAGGCAGCCUGCCAAGCCAUUACUGACGCUGAUGCACGAAAGCGUGGGGAUCAAACAGGAUUAGAUACCCUGGUAGUCCACGCAGUAAACGAUGAUCACUAGCUGUUUGCGAUACACUGUAAGCGGCACAGCGAAAGCGUUAAGUGAUCCACCUGGGGAGUACGCCGGCAACGGUGAAACUCAAAGGAAUUGACGGGGGCCCGCACAAGCGGAGGAACAUGUGGUUUAAUUCGAUGAUACGCGAGGAACCUUACCCGGGUUUGAACGCAUUCGGACCGAGGUGGAAACACCUUUUCUAGCAAUAGCCGUUUGCGAGGUGCUGCAUGGUUGUCGUCAGCUCGUGCCGUGAGGUGUCGGCUUAAGUGCCAUAACGAGCGCAACCCUUGCCACUAGUUACUAACAGGUGAUGCUGAGGACUCUGGUGGGACUGCCAGCGUAAGCUGCGAGGAAGGCGGGGAUGACGUCAAAUCAGCACGGCCCUUACAUCCGGGGCGACACACGUGUUACAAUGGCGUGGACAAAGGGAGGCCACCUGGCGACAGGG